This 246-nucleotide long non-coding RNA is filed under the name Elaeis guineensis (African oil palm). Its description in RNAcentral is "long non-coding RNA (EGUI_LNC047961)". The record is from RNAcentral. Lineage: Eukaryota; Viridiplantae; Streptophyta; Magnoliopsida; Arecales; Arecaceae.
AUAUGAGUUUAGAGACAUAGAAGUGUCAUAGAGAUCAGAGAUUUUCUCUCUCUUGACCUUGAUGGAAUGUUUGGUUGAGCAACUUGAGAGUAUCACAUGUGGAGCCACCUUAGUAGCUACCAUUGGAGCUCGUGGUCGGUGGAGUUUAUUCACUAGGUCAUCUUCUCAGUAGAGUUAGCCGACUUGGCAUGCCUAGCCUUCCAACUCCUCUUAGCCAUCCCAAACCAGUUAGCCCUCUUCUAUGCC